RNAcentral lists this ribosomal RNA (465 nucleotides) under Vreelandella stevensii. Its description in RNAcentral is "partial 16S ribosomal RNA". It matches the Rfam family "Bacterial small subunit ribosomal RNA", at positions 338 to 795 of the family's 1533-position model. The record is from RNAcentral. Lineage: Bacteria; Pseudomonadati; Pseudomonadota; Gammaproteobacteria; Oceanospirillales; Halomonadaceae.
CCUACGGGUGGCAGCAGUGGGGAAUAUUGGACAAUGGGGGGAACCCUGAUCCAGCCAUGCCGCGUGUGUGAAGAAGGCCCUCGGGUUGUAAAGCACUUUCAGUGAGGAAGAACGCCUGGUGGUUAAUACCCAUCAGGAAAGACAUCACUCACAGAAGAAGCACCGGCUAACUCCGUGCCAGCAGCCGCGGUAAUACGGAGGGUGCGAGCGUUAAUCGGAAUUACUGGGCGUAAAGCGCGCGUAGGUGGCUUGAUAAGCCGGUUGUGAAAGCCCCGGGCUCAACCUGGGAACGGCAUCCGGAACUGUCAAGCUAGAGUGAAGGAGAGGAAGGUAGAAUUCCCGGUGUAGCGGUGAAAUGCGUAGAGAUCGGGAGGAAUACCAGUGGCGAAGGCGGCCUUCUGGACUGACACUGACACUGAGGUGCGAAAGCGUGGGUAGCAAACAGGAUUAGAUACCCCUGUAGUC